Molecule: transfer RNA, 72 nt
Filed under: Camelus bactrianus (Bactrian camel)
Lineage: Eukaryota; Metazoa; Chordata; Mammalia; Artiodactyla; Camelidae
Also listed under: 1 other name
Rfam family: tRNA
About the family: Transfer RNA (tRNA) molecules are approximately 80 nucleotides in length.
Source: Rfam by way of RNAcentral
GUGGGUACAGCUCAGUGGAAGAGUGCAUGCUUAGCAUGUAUGAGAUCCUGGGUUCAAUCCCCAGUAUCUCCA